CCGGCGAUGUCCGAAUGGGGAAACCCAGUGCAAUUCGUUGCACUAUCGUUAACUGAAUACAUAGGUUAACGAGGCGAACCGGGGGAACUGAAACAUCUAAGUACCCCGAGGAAAAGAAAUCAACCGAGAUUCCCCCAGUAGCGGCGAGCGAACGGGGAGCAGCCCAGAGUCUGAAUCAGCUUGUGUGUUAGUGGAACGGUCUGGAAAGUCCGACGGUACAGGGUGAUAGUCCCGUACACCAAAAUGCACAGGUUGUGAACUCGAAGAGUAGGGCGGGACACGUGGUAUCCUGUCUGAAUAUGGGGGGACCAUCCUCCAAGGCUAAAUACUCCUGACUGACCGAUAGUGAACCAGUACCGUGAGGGAAAGGCGAAAAGAACCCCGGCGAGGGGAGUGAAAAAGAACCUGAAACCGUGUACGUACAAGCAGUGGGAGCACCUUCGGGUGUGACUGCGUACCUUUUGUAUAAUGGGUCAGCGACUUAUAUUCUGUAGCAAGGUUAACCGUAUAGGGGAGCCGCAGGGAAACCGAGUCUUAACUGGGCGUUAAGUUGCAGGGUAUAGACCCGAAACCCGGUGAUCUAGCCAUGGGCAGGUUGAAGGUUGGGUAACACUAACUGGAGGACCGAACCGACUAAUGUUGAAAAAUUAGCGGAUGACUUGUGGCUGGGGGUGAAAGGCCAAUCAAACCGGGAGAUAGCUGGUUCUCCCCGAAAGCUAUUUAGGUAGCGCCUCGUGAACUCAUCUUCGGGGGUAGAGCACUGUUUCGGCUAGGGGGUCAUCCCGACUUACCAACCCGAUGCAAACUACGAAUACCGAAGAAUGUUAUCACGGGAGACACACGGCGGGUGCUAACGUCCGUCGUGAAGAGGGAAACAACCCAGACCGCCAGCUAAGGUCCCAAAGUCAUGGUUAAGUGGGAAACGAUGUGGGAAGGCACAGACAGCCAGGAUGUUGGCUUAGAAGCAGCCAUCAUUUAAAGAAAGCGUAAUAGCUCACUGGUCGAGUCGGCCUGCGCGGAAGAUGUAACGGGGCUAAACCAUGCACCGAAGCUGCGGCAGCGACACUAUGUGUUGUUGGGUAGGGGAGCGUUCUGUAAGCCUGCGAAGGUGUGCUGUGAGGCAUGCUGGAGGUAUCAGAAGUGCGAAUGCUGACAUAAGUAACGAUAAAGCGGGUGAAAAGCCCGCUCGCCGGAAGACCAAGGGUUCCUGUCCAACGUUAAUCGGGGCAGGGUGAGUCGACCCCUAAGGCGAGGCCGAAAGGCGUAGUCGAUGGGAAACAGGUUAAUAUUCCUGUACUUGGUGUUACUGCGAAGGGGGGACGGAGAAGGCUAUGUUAGCCGGGCGACGGUUGUCCCGGUUUAAGCAUGUAGGCUGGUUAUCCAGGCAAAUCCGGAUAAUCAAGGCUGAGGUGUGAUGACGAGGCACUACGGUGCUGAAGUAACAAAUGCCCUGCUUCCAGGAAAAGCCUCUAAGCAUCAGGUAACAUCAAAUCGUACCCCAAACCGACACAGGUGGUCAGGUAGAGAAUACCAAGGCGCUUGAGAGAACUCGGGUGAAGGAACUAGGCAAAAUGGUGCCGUAACUUCGGGAGAAGGCACGCUGGUGUGUAGGUGAAGCCCCUGCGGGUGGAGCUGAGACCAGUCGAAGAUACCAGCUGGCUGCAACUGUUUAUUAAAAACACAGCACUGUGCAAACACGAAAGUGGACGUAUACGGUGUGACGCCUGCCCGGUGCCGGAAGGUUAAUUGAUGGGGUUAUCCGUAAGGAGAAGCUCUUGAUCGAAGCCCCGGUAAACGGCGGCCGUAACUAUAACGGUCCUAAGGUAGCGAAAUUCCUUGUCGGGUAAGUUCCGACCUGCACGAAUGGCGUAAUGAUGGCCAGGCUGUCUCCACCCGAGACUCAGUGAAAUUGAACUCGCUGUGAAGAUGCAGUGUACCCGCGGCAAGACGGAAAGACCCCGUGAACCUUUACUAUAGCUUGACACUGAACAUUGAGCCUUGAUGUGUAGGAUAGGUGGGAGGCUUUGAAGCGUGGACGCCAGUCUGCGUGGAGCCAACCUUGAAAUACCACCCUUUAAUGUUUGAUGUUCUAACGUUGGCCCCUGACCGGGGUUGCGGACAGUGUCUGGUGGGUAGUUUGACUGGGGCGGUCUCCUCCCAAAGCGUAACGGAGGAGCACGAAGGUUAGCUAAUCCUGGUCGGACAUCAGGAGGUUAGUGCAAUGGCAUAAGCUAGCUUGACUGCGAGCGUGACGGCGCGAGCAGGUGCGAAAGCAGGUCAUAGUGAUCCGGUGGUUCUGAAUGGAAGGGCCAUCGCUCAACGGAUAAAAGGUACUCCGGGGAUAACAGGCUGAUACCGCCCAAGAGUUCAUAUCGACGGCGGUGUUUGGCACCUCGAUGUCGGCUCAUCACAUCCUGGGGCUGAAGUAGGUCCCAAGGGUAUGGCUGUUCGCCAUUUAAAGUGGUACGCGAGCUGGGUUUAGAACGUCGUGAGACAGUUCGGUCCCUAUCUGCCGUGGGCGCUGGAGAAUUGAGGGGGGCUGCUCCUAGUACGAGAGGACCGGAGUGGACGCAUCACUGGUGUUCGGGUUGUCAUGCCAAUGGCACUGCCCGGUAGCUAAAUGCGGAAGAGAUAAGUGCUGAAAGCAUCUAAGCACGAAACUUGCCCCGAGAUGAGUUCUCCCUGAGACUUUAAGUCUCCUGAAGGAACGUU
This 2712-nucleotide ribosomal RNA is filed under the name Klebsiella pneumoniae. RNAcentral describes it as "partial 23S ribosomal RNA". It matches the Rfam family "Bacterial large subunit ribosomal RNA". Lineage: Bacteria; Pseudomonadati; Pseudomonadota; Gammaproteobacteria; Enterobacterales; Enterobacteriaceae. RNAcentral also lists the same sequence under 1 other name. The record is from RNAcentral.